RNAcentral lists this long non-coding RNA (478 nucleotides) under Elaeis guineensis (African oil palm). Its description in RNAcentral is "long non-coding RNA (EGUI_LNC003599)". The record is from RNAcentral. Lineage: Eukaryota; Viridiplantae; Streptophyta; Magnoliopsida; Arecales; Arecaceae.
AGUUCUCCUCUCAUUCUUUUUCCACUACCAACGCCACUUGCUUGCUUCCCUUCUCUCUUCUCCUUCCCCAUUAUUUCGCAUCCCUCCUUUUUCUCCUCAUUCAUCUUUAGUGCCACUUCCCCACUCGUCUUAUCCUCUUCUCUCUCCUUUUUUUUGCGCUCCCCCUCUCACUCCUUCCCCAUUAUUUCGCACCUCAACUUGUGCUCCCGCAUUGCAGAUUCUUGUUGCGACGGGUUAUGGUGGAAAGGGCCGAUUGGGACAACAACUGGCGUGUAGGCUCGUUCAUCUAAGCGCCGGAUGUGCAUGCUCCGGGAUCUUGAGGAUGGUGCAUGGGCUAAGAGGAUGGUGUUCGGGGCCAACUUCAUUCACCUCCUUGUUCACUCUAUUGAUCCAUGAGCCCAGAGCCUUGAUGUCAUUGGUGGGAGAGGUGGGAGAAGGUGUCGCUGUGCUUGUUGGUGGUGGAUGCUGCGUGCGUGUG